This 459-nucleotide ribosomal RNA is filed under the name uncultured bacterium. RNAcentral describes it as "partial 16S ribosomal RNA". It matches the Rfam family "Bacterial small subunit ribosomal RNA", at positions 338 to 795 of the family's 1533-position model. The record is from RNAcentral.
CCUAGGGGAGGCAGCAGUGAGGAAUAUUGGUCAAUGGACGGAAGUCUGAACCAGCCAUGCCGCGUGCAGGAAGACGGCUCUAUGAGUUGUAAACUGCUUUUGUACAAGGGUAAACCUGAAUACGUGUAUUCAGCUGAAAGUACUGUACGAAUAAGGAUCGGCUAACUCCGUGCCAGCAGCCGCGGUAAUACGGAGGAUCCAAGCGUUAUCCGGAUUUAUUGGGUUUAAAGGGUGCGCAGGCGGGCUGUUAAGCCGGCGGUAAAAAUUCAGGGCUCAACCCUGUCGAGCCGUCGGAACUGGCAGUCUUGAGUGGGCGAGAAGUAUGCGGAAUGCGUGGUGUAGCGGUGAAAUGCAUAGAUAUCACGCAGAACGCCGAUUGCGAAGGCAGCAUACCGGCGCCCAACUGACGCUGAGGCACGAAAGCGUGGGGAUCGAACAGGAUUAGAUACCCCUGUAGUC